This is a long non-coding RNA of Solanum lycopersicum (tomato), 1069 nucleotides long. RefSeq lists it as uncharacterized. NCBI's taxonomy places the organism in Eukaryota, Viridiplantae, Streptophyta, Magnoliopsida, Solanales, Solanaceae. The record is from RefSeq and is a predicted model, not a curated record.
AAGAGCUUUUUGAUAUUGCAGGGAAAAUGACCAUUAAUUGUAUUACAACAAGAAUAUAUCUUAGCCUUUUGGUACUUGAAUGGAAAAUGACCAUUACUUAUUUGCAACAAUAAUAUAUUUAGUAAAAAGUCAAAUAAGGGUUAAAUGUGUAUAUGUUUAGUCAAAGAAUGAAGCGUAGAAUCUACGCAAAUCAUUAAUCGUAUUACAAUAACAAUACAUCUAGUCAAAGUCAAAAAAAAAGUAAAUGUUUUUUAUCUAAUAAAAAAUAAGAGCGUAAAAUAUACGCAAGAUUGGACUAUAUAUAUAUUUCAUCAUAGGUAAAAGUGUAUAAUAUACACAGAAAGAGCACUAUGUGUGCAGUAAGAAACUCUAUACACAUAGUAGCCUUAAAAAAAAAAGAAACAAAAUUCCCCCAUUCUUUCUCGAAAUUGAUUUUCUAGGCUUCAUUGUUAGUACAAUAAAAAAUCCUAAUAGUAUCAAUUCGUCCUUUCUGCCUUCCUGCACUCUACUCCAUUUCUCCAUGAUUAUAGGUAUUUGAAGUUUUAGUGCAAGCAUGGAAACUUACGAGCAAAAAGGCAUAGAAAGGUUGAAAAGAACGUGAAAGUUGAAGCCUGAGCGUCACCAAGUGCAUUUGGCGAGUCGCCAAAAGAAUGUAUUUUGUUCUUUGUUGCAGCAUGCGAAGUUCUGAAGAAAGUGGAUCAAAAAGGUGAUGAAAGGAGCAGUCGGCGCUUCGCUGAAUAGUUUCGCAAAGCAAGGCUAUACCGGCCAAUGGUCCAGAACAUGAAGAUGUUGAAGGCAAACACAAAAAGGCGACGAACCAGAAGAAGGGUGAAUCGACGAGUUAUUCGGCGAUCCGACUAAUCUCACCGAGUGGUCCGCCGCAACACUUAAUCUAGAAGCUACAAAUACUAGUUGUAGGUUUUAUUUUUAGAGAUUUGAACAUUUUCAUAGUUUUGAGACAUUAGAAUAUUUUUACUGGUAUUUUUCUCUCAAGUUUGGAGAGGAUUUUAGGAGACUUGAAGAAAGACGUUUUUCAUCUUCCCAAAGUUGGAAGUGAGUCUUCUCCAUU